CAAGCAGGCGUCUAUAGCUGUG
Molecule: non-coding RNA, 22 nt
Filed under: Arabidopsis thaliana (thale cress)
Lineage: Eukaryota; Viridiplantae; Streptophyta; Magnoliopsida; Brassicales; Brassicaceae
Source: RNAcentral